This 31-nucleotide non-coding RNA is filed under the name Mus musculus (house mouse). The record is from RNAcentral. Lineage: Eukaryota; Metazoa; Chordata; Mammalia; Rodentia; Muridae.
UAGGAGAUGUAUCCCCCUGUAAGAUGGAGGA